GCAUCUGUAGCUUUGUGGUAGAGCAUCUGCGCGUAAAGCAGAAGGUCUCGAGUUCAAAUCUUGACGGAGGCC
This 72-nucleotide transfer RNA is filed under the name Acanthoscelides obtectus. It matches the Rfam family "tRNA". From Rfam's summary of the family: Transfer RNA (tRNA) molecules are approximately 80 nucleotides in length. The record is from Rfam by way of RNAcentral. Lineage: Eukaryota; Metazoa; Arthropoda; Insecta; Coleoptera; Chrysomelidae.